Molecule: unclassified non-coding RNA, 320 nt
Filed under: Basidiomycota sp.
Lineage: Eukaryota; Fungi; Basidiomycota
Description: partial contains small subunit ribosomal RNA, internal transcribed spacer 1, and 5.8S ribosomal RNA
Rfam family: Eukaryotic small subunit ribosomal RNA (bases 1-47)
Source: RNAcentral
AAAGUCGUAACAAGGUUUCCGUAGGUGAACCUGCGGAAGGAUCAUUAAUGAAUAACUAUGGCAUUGGUUGUAGCUGGCUCCUAGGAGCAUUGUGCACACCUGUCAUUUUUAUCUUUCCACCUGUGCACUUAAUGUAGGCUUGGAUAACUCUCACUCGCACUGAGUGGAUGCAAGGAUUGUCGUGUCGCAAGAUCGGCUCUCUUUGAAUUUCCAAGUCUAUGUAUCUUUACACACCCCAAUUGUAUAAUGAAGAAUGUAGUCAAUGGGCUUUCAUGCCUAUAAAACAAAUACAACUUUCAGCAACGGAUCUCUUGGCUCUC